CAAUAGCGUAUAUUAAAGUUGUUGCAGUUAAAAAGCUCGUAGUUGGAUUUGUGGCUGUCACGGGCGGCCUAUCACUUAGUGUUAGUGCUUGCCUGUGUCGCCAUCCUUGGGUGGAGCCCGUGUGGCAUUAGGUUGUCGUGCGGGGGAUGCCCAUCGUUUACUGUGAGAAAAUUAGAGUGUUCAAAGCAGGCUUAUGCCGUUGAAUAUGUUAGCAUGGAAUAAUAAGAUAGGACCUCGGUACUAUUUUGUUGGUUUGCGCACCGAGGUAAUGAUUAAUAGGGACAGUUGGGGGUAUUCGUAUUUCAUAGUCAGAGGUGAAAUUCUUGGAUUUAUGAAAGGCGAACAACUGCGAAAGCAUUUGCCAAGGAUGUUUUCAUUAA
RNAcentral lists this ribosomal RNA (380 nucleotides) under uncultured eukaryote. RNAcentral describes it as "partial 18S ribosomal RNA". It matches the Rfam family "Eukaryotic small subunit ribosomal RNA", at positions 592 to 976 of the family's 1831-position model. The record is from RNAcentral.